This is a non-coding RNA of Drosophila virilis, 789 nucleotides long. NCBI's taxonomy places the organism in Eukaryota, Metazoa, Arthropoda, Insecta, Diptera, Drosophilidae. The record is from RefSeq and is a predicted model, not a curated record.
AAUACAUAAACAAAAAUUCGAUUUAAGUCCACAAUUCCCCACAACAAUUAAUAUUUGAUAAGAGAUUAUAAUAAAGGCGACAAGAAUAUUUAUGUUAAAGCUCGAAAACCUGUUACUGUUGUGGACAACAGCGAGUAUAAAAUUCAAUUUCAGAUCUUAUCUUGCAGUGUUGCUACGGAAAUCAACCUUCCUGACUCUGACGACGGAUCUAACGCAUCCAAGGAAACAACGUUGAAUAGGCCAGCUUACCGGCAUAACGAUCUUAAUGUCAAAGACAAUACUCUAGGAAACCCAGAGUUAAAAGCUUGCCGCAUCAAAAAAAUUGAAAUCAGAACAUCAGUUGACGGACUCAAAGACGACAGACCAUACAAAGAAUCAUUGAAAGUUUUUAUCACUCGAUCACGGGAGUUGACCUCAAAACGGAGUUAAAAAAGUUGGGACAUGAAGCAGUUAAUAUCCACCGCUCCAUAUAGCGUACCACCAAAGAGCCCAUGAAUCUGUUAUUUGUGAACCUCUCCCCCCCAAAACAAAGAUGAUAUAAAGAAUAUAAAAAUUCUGAUUGGACAACGCGCUCACAUUGAGGAUGCAUGGAAAAAGCAAGACAUUUUACAGUGUCGGCGCUGCCAGCAAUUUGGUCGCACAACACAUUCAGCCCAAGUUUCCAUGUCCUUCUUUCAUCCUAUUCCAAUAACGCAAAAACUAAUUUGUUAAUCUGAAGCUUUGGAUUUAGGAGUCAUUUUCGAAUCUAAGUUCUUAUUAAUUUACCAUAUAAACAUAUUAUGCAUAAGG